Molecule: unclassified non-coding RNA, 378 nt
Filed under: uncultured Lysobacteraceae bacterium
Lineage: Bacteria; Pseudomonadati; Pseudomonadota; Gammaproteobacteria; Lysobacterales; Lysobacteraceae
Description: uncultured Xanthomonadaceae bacterium contains 16S-23S intergenic spacer region
Source: RNAcentral
UCCGGUUUGUCACCGGCAGUCUGGCGUGAGUCCCCAACUUAAUGCUGGCAACACGCCACGGGGGUUGCGCUCGUUGCGGGACUUAACCCAACAUCUCACGACACGAGCUGACGACAGCCAUGCAGCAUCUGUGCACGGGCUCCGAAGAGGGCGCGCUGUUUCCCGAGGCUUUCACCGAGAUGUCAAACCCAGGUAAGGUUCUUCGCGUUGCAUCGAAUUAAACCACAUACUCCACCGCUUGUGCGGGCCCCCGUCAAUUCCUUUGAGUUUCAGUCUUGCGACCGUACUCCCCAGGCGGCGAACUUAACGCGUUAGCUUCGAUACUGCGUGCCAAAUUGCACCCAACAUCCAGUUCGCAUCGUUUAGGGCGUGGACUAC